RNAcentral lists this ribosomal RNA (468 nucleotides) under uncultured bacterium. Its description in RNAcentral is "partial 16S ribosomal RNA". It matches the Rfam family "Bacterial small subunit ribosomal RNA", at positions 28 to 507 of the family's 1533-position model. The record is from RNAcentral.
GACGAACGCUGGCGGCGUGCUUAACACAUGCAAGUCGAACGGAAAGGCCCUGCUUUUGUGGGGUGCUCGAGUGGCGAACGGGUGAGUAACACGUGAGUAACCUGCCCUUGACUUUGGGAUAACUUCAGGAAACUGGGGCUAAUACCGGAUAGGAGCUCCUGCUGCAUGGUGGGGGUUGGAAAGUUUCGGCGGUUGGGGAUGGACUCGCGGCUUAUCAGCUUGUUGGUGGGGUAGUGGCUUACCAAGGCUUUGACGGGUAGCCGGCCUGCGAGGGUGACCGGCCACAUUGGGACUGAGGUACGACCCAGAGUCCUACGGGAGGCAGCAGUGGGGAAUAGUGCACGAUGGGCGGAAGCCUGAUGCAGCAACGCCGCGUGCGGGAUGACGGCCUUCGGGUUGUAAACCGCUUUCGCCUGUGACGAAGCGUAAGUGACGGUAAUGGGUAAAGAAGCACCGGCUAACUACGUG